AUUUUUUUUCCAGGUGAUGCAUUUCCCUUUUCCCUGGAAAGCUGCCACCCUAAAUUUGAACCACCCGUCAGGUUGCGCCAGGAAGAGAUACCCACCCAGCUGUCUGCAUGUGUGAAUCAGACCUAAUAAUCUUCCUUUGUACUUUAUCCUAAACUGAUGUAACCCACCUACCCGUCCCACAGCAGCAGCCUUUGCAGGGACCAGAAAGUACGGCACGUGGCUCCUGGAAAACUUCCCAAAAAGAAAUGUGGCCCUCCGACUGGAAGAGGUUCUCCACCUGAACUGCAGUCGCCGAUUUACUCCCAAACUACGGUGGUGUUUUGUAGACGGGAGCUCUGCACUGGCCACUGGCAGAGAGAGGCAAGUUCAACAUUAAUCCAAGAUCAAGGCUGGCAGCGGCUGCGGGGGCCACUUCCUAGGAGUGCUGCUCCUUUGCCGCUCCUUGGCAGUGGCUUCCAUCAUUUCAGAUCUCACUCCAGAGCCUCGCUCUCCGAGGAUGGACACAGAGAAAGAAGCAUUUUAGGGCAAGCUGAAGCAGAGCACUGUGCGGAGCCCC
This is a long non-coding RNA of Lacerta agilis (Sand lizard), 556 nucleotides long. RefSeq lists it as uncharacterized. NCBI's taxonomy places the organism in Eukaryota, Metazoa, Chordata, Lepidosauria, Squamata, Lacertidae. The transcript has 3 exons. The record is from RefSeq and is a predicted model, not a curated record.